This 381-nucleotide long non-coding RNA is filed under the name Heterocephalus glaber (naked mole-rat). Its description in RNAcentral is "lncRNA (ENSHGLG00100040343.1)". The record is from RNAcentral. Lineage: Eukaryota; Metazoa; Chordata; Mammalia; Rodentia; Bathyergidae.
AACAAAAUUAGCUAUUUUUUAAAGCACAGAAGGAGUAAAUGUAAUAUUAAGUCCUAAUGGCAGAAGUCUUUGAAAAGGGAAUUCUACGGAUUUCGGGGAACAGAAAAAGAAAUGAAACUAGAACACUUACAGUUUGGAUUUGGAAGAUCCUCCAAAAGCUCAUGUGUGGAAGGCUCCCCAAUGCAGCAAUAUUCAGAGGAUCAUCAUUUCUGAGGGAAGCCUGCUGUCAUGCUAUGAGGACACCUAGUCAGCCUUUGGAGAGGUUUGUAUGAUGAGAAACUGAGGCCUCUUGCCAACAGCCACUACCAACUUUCCAGCCAUGUGCAUGCAGCAUCUUAGAGAGGACCCACCAGCCCAGUCAAACCCUCAGAAGACUGCAAC